Molecule: transfer RNA, 61 nt
Filed under: Tympanocryptis cf. lineata LPS-2008
Lineage: Eukaryota; Metazoa; Chordata; Lepidosauria; Squamata; Agamidae
Description: tRNA-Cys
Source: RNAcentral
UGGCUUGAAGAAGGUGUUUGAGUGCAAAUCAAACGGUGGGCCCGAGAUGGUCCUCAAGCCU